RNAcentral lists this ribosomal RNA (255 nucleotides) under uncultured bacterium. RNAcentral describes it as "partial 16S ribosomal RNA". It matches the Rfam family "Bacterial small subunit ribosomal RNA", at positions 524 to 776 of the family's 1533-position model. The record is from RNAcentral.
UACAGAGGGUGCGAGCGUUGUUCGGAAUUAUUGGGCGUAAAGGGCGCGUAGGCGGUGCGGUAAGUCACCUGUGAAAUCUCCUGGCUCAACUGGGAGCUUGCAGGCGAAACUGCCGUGCUGGAGUGUGGGAGAGGUGCGUGGAAUUCCCGGUGUAGCGGUGAAAUGCGUAGAUAUCAGGAGGAACACCUGUGGCGAAAAGCGGCUCACUGGACCACAACUGACGCUGAGGCGCGAAAGCUAGGGGGAGCAAACAGG